RNAcentral lists this unclassified non-coding RNA (231 nucleotides) under uncultured fungus. Its description in RNAcentral is "sequence contains ITS1, 5.8S rRNA gene". The stretch from base 183 to 231 matches the Rfam family "5.8S ribosomal RNA", at positions 1 to 49 of the family's 154-position model. The record is from RNAcentral. Lineage: Eukaryota; Fungi.
UCUCCGUAGGUGAACCUGCGGAGGGAUCAUUACUGAGUGAGGGCCCCCGGGCCCGACCUCCAACCCUUUGUGAACCAUACCUCGUUGCUUCGGGGGCGACCCUGCCGUCCGCGGCGCCGGCGCCCCCGGAGACCAUCAAACCCUGCGUAACUAAGUCGUCGGAGUUUAAACAAAUUAAACAAAACUUUCAACAACGGAUCUCUUGGUUCGGGCAUCGAUGAAGAACGCAGC